RNAcentral lists this ribosomal RNA (496 nucleotides) under uncultured bacterium. Its description in RNAcentral is "partial 16S ribosomal RNA". It matches the Rfam family "Bacterial small subunit ribosomal RNA", at positions 30 to 523 of the family's 1533-position model. The record is from RNAcentral.
AUUGAACGCUGGCGGAAUGCUUUACACAUGCAAGUCGAACGGUAGAGGGGGCAACCCCUCGAGAGUGGCGAACGGGUGAGUAAUAUAUCGGAACGUGCCCAGUCGUGGGGGAUAACGUAGCGAAAGUUACGCUAAUACCGCAUACGAUCUAAGGAUGAAAGCGGGGGAUCGCAAGACCUCGCGCGAUUGGAGCGGCCGAUAUCAGAUUCGGUAGUUGGAGGGGUAAAGGCUCACCAAGCCAACGAUCUGUAGCUGGUCUGAGAGGACGAACAGCCACACUGGAACUGGGACACGGUCCAGACUCCUACGGGAGGCAGCAGUGGGGAAGUUUGGACAAUGGACGCAAGUCUGAUCCAGCCAUUCCGCGUGCAGGAUGAAGGCCCUCGGGUUGUAAACUGCUUUUGUACGGAACGAAAAGGUCUCUCUUAAUACGGGGGGCUCAUGACGGUACCGUAAGAAUAAGCACCGGCUAACUACGUGCCAGCCGCCGCAGUAA